This 2930-nucleotide ribosomal RNA is filed under the name Escherichia coli O91:H21. Its description in RNAcentral is "23S ribosomal RNA". It matches the Rfam family "Bacterial large subunit ribosomal RNA". The record is from RNAcentral. Lineage: Bacteria; Pseudomonadati; Pseudomonadota; Gammaproteobacteria; Enterobacterales; Enterobacteriaceae.
GGGUUGUGAGGUUAAGCGACUAAGCGUACACGGUGGAUGCCCUGGCAGUCAGAGGCGAUGAAGGACGUGCUAAUCUGCGAUAAGCGUCGGUAAGGUGAUAUGAACCGUUAUAACCGGCGAUUUCCGAAUGGGGAAACCCAGUGUGAUUCGUCACACUAUCAUUAACUGAAUCCAUAGGUUAAUGAGGCGAACCGGGGGAACUGAAACAUCUAAGUACCCCGAGGAAAAGAAAUCAACCGAGAUUCCCCCAGUAGCGGCGAGCGAACGGGGAGCAGCCCAGAGCCUGAAUCAGUGUGUGUGUUAGUGGAAGCGUCUGGAAAGGCGCGCGAUACAGGGUGACAGCCCCGUACACAAAAAUGCACAUGCUGUGAGCUCGAUGAGUAGGGCGGGACACGUGGUAUCCUGUCUGAAUAUGGGGGGACCAUCCUCCAAGGCUAAAUACUCCUGACUGACCGAUAGUGAACCAGUACCGUGAGGGAAAGGCGAAAAGAACCCCGGCGAGGGGAGUGAAAAAGAACCUGAAACCGUGUACGUACAAGCAGUGGGAGCACGCUUAGGCGUGUGACUGCGUACCUUUUGUAUAAUGGGUCAGCGACUUAUAUUCUGUAGCAAGGUUAACCGAAUAGGGGAGCCGAAGGGAAACCGAGUCUUAACUGGGCGUUAAGUUGCAGGGUAUAGACCCGAAACCCGGUGAUCUAGCCAUGGGCAGGUUGAAGGUUGGGUAACACUAACUGGAGGACCGAACCGACUAAUGUUGAAAAAUUAGCGGAUGACUUGUGGCUGGGGGUGAAAGGCCAAUCAAACCGGGAGAUAGCUGGUUCUCCCCGAAAGCUAUUUAGGUAGCGCCUCGUGAAUUCAUCUCCGGGGGUAGAGCACUGUUUCGGCAAGGGGGUCAUCCCGACUUACCAACCCGAUGCAAACUGCGAAUACCGGAGAAUGUUAUCACGGGAGACACACGGCGGGUGCUAACGUCCGUCGUGAAGAGGGAAACAACCCAGACCGCCAGCUAAGGUCCCAAAGUCAUGGUUAAGUGGGAAACGAUGUGGGAAGGCCCAGACAGCCAGGAUGUUGGCUUAGAAGCAGCCAUCAUUUAAAGAAAGCGUAAUAGCUCACUGGUCGAGUCGGCCUGCGCGGAAGAUGUAACGGGGCUAAACCAUGCACCGAAGCUGCGGCAGCGACGCUGAUGCGUUGUUGGGUAGGGGAGCGUUCUGUAAGCCUGCGAAGGUGUGCUGUGAGGCAUGCUGGAGGUAUCAGAAGUGCGAAUGCUGACAUAAGUAACGAUAAAGCGGGUGAAAAGCCCGCUCGCCGGAAGACCAAGGGUUCCUGUCCAACGUUAAUCGGGGCAGGGUGAGUCGACCCCUAAGGCGAGGCCGAAAGGCGUAGUCGAUGGGAAACAGGUUAAUAUUCCUGUACUUGGUGUUACUGCGAAGGGGGGACGGAGAAGGCUAUGUUGGCCGGGCGACGGUUGUCCCGGUUUAAGCGUGUAGGCUGGUUUUCCAGGCAAAUCCGGAAAAUCAAGGCUGAGGCGUGAUGACGAGGCACUACGGUGCUGAAGCAACAAAUGCCCUGCUUCCAGGAAAAGCCUCUAAGCAUCAGGUAACAUCAAAUCGUACCCCAAACCGACACAGGUGGUCAGGUAGAGAAUACCAAGGCGCUUGAGAGAACUCGGGUGAAGGAACUAGGCAAAAUGGUGCCGUAACUUCGGGAGAAGGCACGCUGAUAUGUAGGUGAAGUCCCUCGCGGAUGGAGCUGAAAUCAGUCGAAGAUACCAGCUGGCUGCAACUGUUUAUUAAAAACACAGCACUGUGCAAACACGAAAGUGGACGUAUACGGUGUGACGCCUGCCCGGUGCCGGAAGGUUAAUUGAUGGGGUCAGCGCAAGCGAAGCUCUUGAUCGAAGCCCCGGUAAACGGCGGCCGUAACUAUAACGGUCCUAAGGUAGCGAAAUUCCUUGUCGGGUAAGUUCCGACCUGCACGAAUGGCGUAAUGAUGGCCAGGCUGUCUCCACCCGAGACUCAGUGAAAUUGAACUCGCUGUGAAGAUGCAGUGUACCCGCGGCAAGACGGAAAGACCCCGUGAACCUUUACUAUAGCUUGACACUGAACAUUGAGCCUUGAUGUGUAGGAUAGGUGGGAGGCUUUGAAGUGUGGACGCCAGUCUGCAUGGAGCCGACCUUGAAAUACCACCCUUUAAUGUUUGAUGUUCUAACGUUGACCCGUAAUCCGGGUUGCGGACAGUGUCUGGUGGGUAGUUUGACUGGGGCGGUCUCCUCCUAAAGAGUAACGGAGGAGCACGAAGGUUGGCUAAUCCUGGUCGGACAUCAGGAGGUUAGUGCAAUGGCAUAAGCCAGCUUGACUGCGAGCGUGACGGCGCGAGCAGGUGCGAAAGCAGGUCAUAGUGAUCCGGUGGUUCUGAAUGGAAGGGCCAUCGCUCAACGGAUAAAAGGUACUCCGGGGAUAACAGGCUGAUACCGCCCAAGAGUUCAUAUCGACGGCGGUGUUUGGCACCUCGAUGUCGGCUCAUCACAUCCUGGGGCUGAAGUAGGUCCCAAGGGUAUGGCUGUUCGCCAUUUAAAGUGGUACGCGAGCUGGGUUUAGAACGUCGUGAGACAGUUCGGUCCCUAUCUGCCGUGGGCGCUGGAGAACUGAGGGGGGCUGCUCCUAGUACGAGAGGACCGGAGUGGACGCAUCACUGGUGUUCGGGUUGUCAUGCCAAUGGCACUGCCCGGUAGCUAAAUGCGGAAGAGAUAAGUGCUGAAAGCAUCUAAGCACGAAACUUGCCCCGAGAUGAGUUCUCCCUGACCCUUUAAGGGUCCUGAAGGAACGUUGAAGACGACGACGUUGAUAGGCCGGGUGUGUAAGCGCAGCGAUGCGUUGAGCUAACCGGUACUAAUGAACCGUGAGGCUUAACCUUACAACGCCGAAGCUGUU